GUGCUUCGGCAGCACACACACUAAAAUUGGAACGAUACAGAAAAUAUUAGCACGGCACCUGUGCAAGUAUGACAUGCAAAUUCACGAAGUGUUCCAUACUUAA
This is a small nuclear RNA of Mesocricetus auratus (golden hamster), 103 nucleotides long. The record is from Ensembl. NCBI's taxonomy places the organism in Eukaryota, Metazoa, Chordata, Mammalia, Rodentia, Cricetidae.